Molecule: long non-coding RNA, 588 nt
Organism: Odontomachus brunneus
Lineage: Eukaryota; Metazoa; Arthropoda; Insecta; Hymenoptera; Formicidae
Exons: 3
Source: RefSeq, a predicted model, not a curated record
GGAUUGUAGUUUAACAUUAUUUCCAAUUCGUAAGACGUGCGUGCGUGGUCCAGCAAAGAGGUCGAAAAUUGCUGCGUCUGUUGCCGCAUCUCCUGGCGAUUGACAAAGAAUCGUCUUUAGACGAGGACAAAUACGCGAGAGUGCAGUUACCAAUCGUUUGAAGGGGCCCGAAUGACUCGAGGUGGAGGAGGAGGAGGAAGAGGAGGAUCAUUGAGUUAAGUACGUUAUAUUGGGCGCGAAAUUCUUGUUCCAUCCUGCUGAGGCGACGCAGUUCCCACGAAAGCUCGAAGGCCGUCAGAAGUGGGUCUCUCGAUGAAAGCGCGAUUAGAGAUGACGAGGAAGAAAUUAUGUGAUCUCUGGCCAGAAUGGCGUCAGUGCAUCAGCAUCUCACGCAAUAGGAAGAAACACGCAGUUCGGUCGCAGACAGCCCGUCCAGAAUUCAUACUAAACCCAGUUUAUUUUACGUCUCGUCCGGGACGUAAAAUCUUUGCCGGUGGUAUUAGCGCGCCGAGCGAUGCUCAGGAUUACCUUUUGACAGUCGCACAAUCGCCUCGUUCCGCGCUGAGCAGGAAAUGCUUCUCGACCGGG